This 487-nucleotide ribosomal RNA is filed under the name uncultured Desulfurispora sp. RNAcentral describes it as "bacterial SSU rRNA". It matches the Rfam family "Bacterial small subunit ribosomal RNA", at positions 897 to 1382 of the family's 1533-position model. Lineage: Bacteria; Bacillati; Bacillota; Clostridia; Eubacteriales; Desulfurisporaceae. The record is from RNAcentral.
AAACUUAAAGGAAUUGACGGGGGCCCGCACAAGCGGUGGAACAUGUGGUUUAAUUCGACGCAACGCGAAGAACCUUACCAGGGCUUGACAUCCCCUGACCGCGUAUGAAAGUACGUUUUCACCCUCGGGUGACAGGGAGACAGGUGGUGCAUGGUUGUCGUCAGCUCGUGUCGUGAGAUGUUGGGUUAAGUCCCGCAACGAGCGCAACCCCUACGUUUAGUUGCUAACGCGUGAAGGCGAGCACUCUAGACGAACUGCCGUUGACAAAACGGAGGAAGUGGGGAUGACGUCAAGUCCUCAUGGCCUUUAUGCCCAGGGCUACACACGUGCUACAAUGGGCGGUACAAAGAGCAGCGAGCUCGCGAGAGUAAGCAAAUCUCAAAAAGCCGUCCUCAGUUCGGACUGGAGUCUGCAACUCGACUCCAUGAAGUUGGAAUCGCUAGUAAUCGCAGGUCAGCAUACUGCGGUGAAUACGUUCCCGGGUCUU